This 332-nucleotide unclassified non-coding RNA is filed under the name uncultured fungus. RNAcentral's name for it is "partial contains 5.8S ribosomal RNA and internal transcribed spacer 2". The stretch from base 1 to 133 matches the Rfam family "5.8S ribosomal RNA", at positions 22 to 154 of the family's 154-position model. Lineage: Eukaryota; Fungi. The record is from RNAcentral.
UGGUUCUGGCAUCGAUGAAGAACGCAGCGAAAUGCGAUAAGUAGUGUGAAUUGCAGAAUUCAGUGAAUCAUCGAAUCUUUGAACGCACAUUGCGCCCUUUGGUAUUCCUUAGGGCAUGCCUGUUCGAGCGUCAUUUCAACCCUCAAGCCUAGCUUGGUGUUGGGCGUCUGUCCCGCCUCCGCGCGCCUGGACUCGCCUCAAAAGCAUUGGCGGCCGGUUCCCAGCAGGCCACGAGCGCAGCAGAGCAAGCGCUGAAGUGGCUGCGGGUCGGCGCACCAUGAGCCCCCCCACAUCAGAAUUUUGACCUCGGAUCAGGUAGGGAUACCCGCUGA